CUGCUGCCUUCCGUAGGAGUUUGGGCCGUGUCUCAGUCCCAAUGUGGCCGGCCACCCUCUCAGGUCGGCUACUGAUCGUCGGCUUGGUGGGCCCUUACCCCGCCAACUACCUAAUCAGACGCGGGCCCAUCCCAUACCACCGGAGUUUUUCGCCCGGGGCCAUGCGGCCUCGCGCGCUUAAGCGGUAUUAGCGGUCAUUUCUAACCGUUAUCCCCCGGUAUGGGGCAGGUUACCCACGCGUUACUCACCCGUCCGCCGCUAAGUCACUCCCGCUUCCUUCCGAAAAA
This 287-nucleotide ribosomal RNA is filed under the name uncultured bacterium. RNAcentral describes it as "partial 16S ribosomal RNA". The record is from RNAcentral.